CAGUAGCCGCGGUAAUACGGAGGGGGCUAGCGUUGUUCGGAAUUACUGGGCGUAGAGCGCACGUAGGCGGCUUGGUAAGUUAGAGGUGAAAGCCCGGAGCUCAACUCCGGAAUUGCCUUUAAGACUGCCGAGCUAGUAGGUGAGAGAGGUAAGUGGAAUUCCGAGUGUAGAGGUGAAAUUCGUAGAUUUUCGGAAGAACACCAGUAGCGAAGGCGGCUUACUGGCUCAUUCUAGACGCUGAGGUGCGAAAGCGUGGGGAGCAAACAGGAUUAGAUACCCCAGUAGUCCCUGUCUCUUAUAC
This 301-nucleotide ribosomal RNA is filed under the name uncultured bacterium. Its description in RNAcentral is "partial 16S ribosomal RNA". It matches the Rfam family "Bacterial small subunit ribosomal RNA", at positions 509 to 807 of the family's 1533-position model. The record is from RNAcentral.